AAAAAGACAAACUCUGGUUUCCGUGUCCAACGUUUGACCGUCCGUCUUAUUUGAAAAAAUUAUGAAAAAAAAUUAAAAAGACAAGUCACGCAUAAAAUAUUAAUCAUGUUUUAUCAUCUAACAACAAUGAAAAUACGAAUUAUAAAAAAAAUUCAUAUAAGACGGACAAUCAAAGUUGGACACGGAAACCCAGGGUUUGUCUUUUU
This 206-nucleotide microRNA precursor is filed under the name Oryza sativa Japonica Group (Japanese rice). RNAcentral's name for it is "MIR812 microRNA precursor family". It matches the Rfam family "MIR812 microRNA precursor family". The record is from Rfam by way of RNAcentral. Lineage: Eukaryota; Viridiplantae; Streptophyta; Magnoliopsida; Poales; Poaceae.